AGGCAGCUUUGCUGGCUCUGC
RNAcentral lists this unclassified non-coding RNA (21 nucleotides) under Mus musculus (house mouse). Its description in RNAcentral is "oocyte_clustered_small_RNA10006". Lineage: Eukaryota; Metazoa; Chordata; Mammalia; Rodentia; Muridae. The record is from RNAcentral.